UACGUAGGGGGCAAGCGUUGUCCGGAAUCAUUGGGCGUAAAGAGCGUGUAGGCGGCCCGAUAAGUCCGCCGUGAAAGUCCAGGGCUCAACCCUGGGAUGCCGGUGGAAACUGUCGGGCUAGAGUCCGGAAGAGGCGAGUGGAAUUCCUGGUGUAGCGGUGGAAUGCGCAGAUAUCAGGAGGAACACCAAUAGCGAAGGCAGCUCGCUGGGACGUUACUGACACUGAGGCGCGAAAGCGUGGGGAGCGAACAGG
Molecule: ribosomal RNA, 253 nt
Filed under: uncultured bacterium
Lineage: Bacteria
Description: partial 16S ribosomal RNA
Rfam family: Bacterial small subunit ribosomal RNA
Source: RNAcentral